This is a long non-coding RNA of Gavialis gangeticus (Gharial), 1319 nucleotides long. RefSeq lists it as uncharacterized. NCBI's taxonomy places the organism in Eukaryota, Metazoa, Chordata, Crocodylia, Gavialidae. The record is from RefSeq and is a predicted model, not a curated record. The transcript has 2 exons.
GAAUAUCCAUGUAGUCCUGCAUGCCUCCACCUGAGGCUCAAGGAACCUGCAUCAUAUUGUAACGGAGUCUCUGCCCCAGGUUUGUGCGUGAAGUCCAAAUCAAAGCUUAAUAACUGUGGAGGCAAUUUAGGAAAGAAUACCAGAGACUGUGGAAAGACUGUACUGAUAAAAGGAGGGAGGAAACCAGAAGGCUGAACAAGUCUUUACUCUCAUUGUAGUUGAUACGACAUUACAGUGUAUUCCUCAUAAUCCUUGUAUGGAGAGGAUUUAUUUUCAAAGAAUUUAUUAAAGAAUAACAUAAAAAGAACAAAGUGAUUCUUUUACAUUUACACAGUUAAACACUACAUUCCAAUCUUGGGAGUUUCUCCUUAUUUGGGUAUGUAUGUUCUUAUCUCUAGUGUUGCUUGUAUCAAAGCAAGUUCUGCUUGUAAAUGUGAUAGAGUCGUGUUAUAAGAAUUCGCUAAAAAAAGAGAGCUUUUGCCGCAUUAUUGUUUCAUAUGGAAGAACUGUUUUUGUGCAAAAAAAGAGAAAAUUACAUAAACAUAGUUCAAAAGUACACUUCUCCUCAGCCUGUUCUAUACUGCUAGAGUUUCUGGAUUUCAUCCAUUUUCUUCUGCUUCAUUUCAACACACAAGACACUGACUUAUUCUUGCAAACCCUGUUGAAGCAUACCAGUAGUAUUGUUGACUUCAAUGGCACUAUUCAUCUGAGUCAAGUUAAGCACUUGCAAAAGUAUAUGCAGAAUCAGGGCCAUAACAUAGGCUUUUUUUUCUUUUCCCAGCAAGGAGAAGAAAGGGGAUUCACUUCAGUAAUAAGGAACAAAAAUAUUCGGAGUUUCAUUCCUAGGAAUAAGGCCAAGCCUUCAGCUUCCACUGUCCUGGGACUGCAGAACUACUUCAGUCUGGGGAUUUAAAGCCUGGGAAUAGAAGUCAUGUCUCCUGGACAGUAGCACUGACACUUUCCAAAUAGACUGAAGAUUGAAAAUAUUUUUUCCCAUCUACUAAUUUUAUCUUAAAGAAAAAAAAAAGGAAGAAGAAAUCUGUCAGCACAUAUAUCAUUUGCCAACGUACAAGAGGCAAGAUGAGAAUAACUUUCAUGCGAUAGACCACACUUGUGUUUUAGGACAUGUAGUGAGGCAAAACAGGUGAAAAAAUCUUAACUUCAUUAAAGUAACUGGGAAAUUUUCUUUUGACAUUGAUUGGGCCAGGAUUUCAUCCAAAAUAUACAAAUUACUGGUUUAUCUCUGUGAAGGAAAAAAAAAGAUCUUUGAAUCAUAUCCUCAGCUAUAUUCAGACCCAGACAGAAUCAAAUAAAAAAAA